Molecule: long non-coding RNA, 1229 nt
Organism: Drosophila pseudoobscura
Lineage: Eukaryota; Metazoa; Arthropoda; Insecta; Diptera; Drosophilidae
Exons: 3
Source: RefSeq, a predicted model, not a curated record
UGCCUGUUGGAGACGUUGUUGGAGAAAUACAUAAAAACCCAUGAAUAUCCUUCUUAAUUAAGAAACCCUCUACCUGAACAUAAAGACUGAAUUAUCCCGGUAUACAUAUGUGGUAAUUAUUUUCACUUUAACUCAUAUCCGAGUUAAUGCAGUAGUAAAAUAAAAUAUUUGUAUCCGCCAUAUAUUAGAAUAGCAUCAUAUAAUAAACAUCAAAACAAGUCGACACGUAGUGAGUCGCAGCAUUACUUAUACUAGGUAGUCAGUUAGUACAAGCAAAAACUAUCAAACCAAAGUAUUGUAUCAGGAAUAAAUUCCAUUUCAAUUUUCUUCAAUGUCUUUGGGCAGCUGAGUCGUCCAAGAAUCCUACAAUAAAUACACAGUCGCCGUCUCGGAGAAAAUAUGCCUCGUCCUGCCCAAGACGUACGAUUUGGAUUCUGGAACCCAGACGAGCUGAACAGACGAUGCCUAGCAGCCUAUGUAAAAAGAUAACCCCAAGGCGCGCGGGCGUAACUAAAACACCACCAUAGACCAGUAUUUUGGUUUCUCAUGCAACAUCUUGUUACGAGAUUGCAUAGUCUUUAGUGUCAAGAGUCUCUUCCCUUUUGCAUUCCUGGGGACUGCGACAGGUUAUAAUUCUAAUAACAAAUGUAAUUCUGAGUCUACUCAUGCGCACGGUGACCGUUUUACAUGCUAUGUAUAUCCUAGUGCUACAAGCGUAAAUGUCACAUAGAAUUUAUAAUUUGUGUAGAAAGUUAUUUUCUUCAAUGCAAUACUUAACAUUAGCAUUUUAAUUUUAGAUUACAUUACUGGUUACGUUAAUUGUAAUGUAAAGCCACUUUAUAUUUUGAUAUAUGUAUUUUUAGUGGAAAUGUAAGUGAUCUGAAAACCUAUAAAAAUAAGCCAAAUUUAUUUUUUCGGUAUUUUUAUAGUCAUGUUUUCCUUUUCCAUUUACUCGUUUACGAAAGAUGGCUCUGGAUAAAAGUUUUUUCUCAAAGACUCUCUUAAAAAUCAACUUAGUUGUUUGUUAAGGAAAUAUAAAGUGAUUUACGUAUAAGAGAAUGUCAGUUGAUAAAUUUAAAAAACAUACAAAAAAAACGUAUAUUUGCUUCCCGUACAUUCGCCGGUACUUAAUUCAAUUUCAAAAACUCCAAUAUGAUUAUUUAUUGUGUAAAUACUCGAUGCAAACCUAAAUUAAUCCUCUUUUAUAAUAAAUUAACUACUUUAGAAUA